RNAcentral lists this ribosomal RNA (355 nucleotides) under uncultured prokaryote. RNAcentral's name for it is "partial 16S ribosomal RNA". The record is from RNAcentral.
CCCUAUGGGGUGCGCAUCAUCUAGCCUGCGGCUCAACCGGCGCGCGAAGGAUGCCUUUGCGCACGUAGAUCGGCCGCAGGAAAGGCCGUAGCGCCGGCAGGCUGAGGGCGAACAGGAUCGCCGCGAGCACGCAGCCGGCCCCGCCGAGCAUCAAGGCGCGCGGCGCCCCGAUCGACUGCGCCAAGCUGCCGGCGAGCAGGCUGCCAAAGGGCGUCAUGCCCAGGAAGGCCAUCGAGUACAGGCUCAUCACGCGACCGCGUUUGUCGUCGUCGACCACGGUUUGCAGGACGGUGUUGCUGGAAGCGAUUUGCGACAUCAUGCCCAGCCCCACGACGAGCAUCAGCGGCAGGGGAGC